GACGAACGCUGGCGGCGUGCUUAACACAUGCAAGUCGAACGGAAAGGCCCUGCUUUUGUGGGGUGCUCGAGUGGCGAACGGGUGAGUAACACGUGAGUAACCUGCUCUUGACUUUGGGAUAACUUCAGGAAACUGGGGCUAAUACCGGAUAGGAGCUCCUGCUGCAUGGUGGGGGUUGGAAAGUUUCGGCGGUUGGGGAUGGACUCGCGGCUUAUCAGCUUGUUGGUGGGGUAGUGGCUUACCAAGGCUUUGACGGGUAGCCGGCCUGAGAGGGUGACCGGCCACAUUGGGACUGAGAUACGGCCCAGACUCCUACGGGAGGCAGCAGUGGGGAAUAUUGCACAAUGGGCGGAAGCCUGAUGCAGCAACGCCGCGUGCGGGAUGACGGCCUUCGGGUUGUAACCCGCUUUCGCCUGUGACGAAGCGUGAGUGACGGUAAUGGGUAAAGAAGCACCGGCUAACUACGUG
Molecule: ribosomal RNA, 468 nt
Filed under: uncultured bacterium
Lineage: Bacteria
Description: partial 16S ribosomal RNA
Rfam family: Bacterial small subunit ribosomal RNA
Source: RNAcentral